GAAAAGAAACCAACAGGGACCGCCCUAGUAACGGCGAGUGAAGCGGCAACAGCUCAAAUUUGAAAUCUGGCUUCGGCCCGAGUUGUAAUUUGCAGAGGAAGCUUUAGGCGCGGCACUUUCUGAGUCCCCUGGAACGGGGCGCCAUAGAGGGUGAGAGCCCCGUAUAGUUAGAUGCCUAGCCUGUGUAAAGCUCCUUCGACGAGUCGAGUAGUUUGGGAAUGCUGCUCAAAAUGGGAGGUAAAUUUCUUCUAAAGCUAAAUACCGGCCAGAGACCGAUAGCGCACAAGUAGAGUGAUCGAAAGAUGAAAAGCACUUUGAAAAGAGGGUUAAAUAGCACGUGAAAUUGUUGAAAGGGAAGCGCUUGUGACCAGACUUGCGCCGGGCAGAUCAUCCGGU
This 396-nucleotide ribosomal RNA is filed under the name Chaetomium pseudocochliodes. RNAcentral's name for it is "partial large subunit ribosomal RNA". It matches the Rfam family "Eukaryotic large subunit ribosomal RNA", at positions 56 to 459 of the family's 3401-position model. The record is from RNAcentral. Lineage: Eukaryota; Fungi; Ascomycota; Sordariomycetes; Sordariales; Chaetomiaceae.